UCAUGGCUCAGAUUGAACGCUGGCGGCAUGCUUACACAUGCAAGUCGAACGGCAGCGGGCCUUCGGGUGCCGGCGAGUGCGAACGGUGAGUAAUGCAUCGGAACGUGCCAUUGAGUGGGGGAUAACGUAGCGAAAGUUACGCUAAUACCGCAUAUUCUGUGAGCAGGAAAGCAGGGGACCGCAAGGCCUUGCGCUCUUUGAGCGGCCGAUGUCAGAUUAGCUAGUUGGUGAGGUAAAGGCUUACCAAGGCGACGAUCUGUAGCGGGUCUGAGAGGAUGAUCCGCCACACUGGAACUGAGACACGGUCCAGACUCCUACGGGAGGCAGCAGUGGGGAAUUUUGGACAAUGGGCGCAAGCCUGAUCCAGCCAUGCCGCGUGAGUGAAGAAGGCCUUCGGGUUGUAAAGCUCUUUCGGCCGGGAAGAAAUCGCAUGGGUUAAUACCCUGUGUGGAUGACGGUACCGGAAUAAGAAGCACCGGCUAACUACGUG
RNAcentral lists this ribosomal RNA (490 nucleotides) under uncultured bacterium. Its description in RNAcentral is "bacterial SSU rRNA". It matches the Rfam family "Bacterial small subunit ribosomal RNA", at positions 17 to 507 of the family's 1533-position model. The record is from RNAcentral.